Molecule: small nuclear RNA, 30 nt
Filed under: Cervus elaphus hippelaphus
Lineage: Eukaryota; Metazoa; Chordata; Mammalia; Artiodactyla; Cervidae
Source: RNAcentral
GUGCUAGCUUCGGCAGCACAAAUACUAAAA